GCUCGGAGAAUAUUUGGUAGUCAGCCUGUUCAGUAGUCAACGUCGUUUGCACAUCCUUCAAUCUGCGAUGGGGUGGGAAGGACACGUGAAUAAAAAGGAAAAAGGUGAGAAGCAGCUGCAACAAAAGCGAGAGUAGAAGGAGGUCCAAGAAGACCGAAAGGAGCUGCAGGAAGACGACAAGGAGCUGCAAGGAGAAAGGAAAAACGGGGAGAGGCAGACAGAUGGAAAAAUAAAAAAAUUAUUGAAAAGACUUCUGUAUAAUCGCGGCGGACACCGGGGCGGCCGAGGAGGCUACCGCGGCAGACAGCGAGGCG
Long non-coding RNA from Ceratina calcarata, 314 nucleotides. RefSeq lists it as uncharacterized. The record is from RefSeq and is a predicted model, not a curated record. NCBI's taxonomy places the organism in Eukaryota, Metazoa, Arthropoda, Insecta, Hymenoptera, Apidae. The transcript has 3 exons.